This 762-nucleotide long non-coding RNA is filed under the name Nicotiana benthamiana. RNAcentral's name for it is "long non-coding RNA (NBEN_LNC031666)". Lineage: Eukaryota; Viridiplantae; Streptophyta; Magnoliopsida; Solanales; Solanaceae. The record is from RNAcentral.
AUCAAUUUAUAAUUUAUGUAUAUCGACUAGAAAUGUAAAUAUUAAAUCUUGUUGGCUUGUGUAACUUGAACUAAAAUGGCCAAAAGGAAACAAUUAUGGAGGAAACUCAGGAAAAUUAACAGUAGAAUUAACGGGGCACGAGAAAUUCUUGGAGACUUCAAGAAAGGUGGAAUACCAAAUGUUCUCAGUAAGAACACGCAUUUUAUUACAUGCAUGGAUGAAUGUUGAAUGUCAGACUUGGGAUUCACAUGGAAUCCAUUCACUUGGUGUAAUAAGAGGAGGAAGAGGAAGAGAAUCAGUAAACGGCUGGACAAUGUCCUUAUUAAUAAUGACUGGCGGUAUGAUAACCAAAUCGAUAGAGUCGACCACCUUGCAAAGACAUGAUCAGACCAUAGUUUGAUCACCUUCAAGUUUGGAAAUGAGAGGAUAGAGGCAAUUAAGUACUUCAGAUUCCUAAAUUUCUGAACCUCUCAUGCUGGCUAUAUGUAGUUGAUCAGGAAUAUUUGGAAUCAAGAAAUACAGGGAAAUACGCAAUGGAUUCUCCAACAAAAACUAAAAUCCCUUUGUAGGGAACUUAGUAGGUGGUCGAGGGAAUCAAUUGGGGAUGUAUUUGCGACAGUGAAACAACUAGAAGCAAAAAUGAAUGGACUAGAGCAAGAGUAUGAGUCUAAUAGCUCAAACUUUAAUCGACAGAACCUCUACAAAGGGAAAGCUGAGUGCACAAACUGGCUCAAAAUGUAAGAAUCAAUCCUCAGACAAAAU